AAUGGCCCGGUGAUGGGAACCAGCCUUAACCAAUCAGAAUGAAGUAAACAGGUGUAUCAAUCAUAUAGUAAUAAGUAACCUGUGUGAUGUCAAUCAUGUAAUGCUGAGAACCAGUCUGUAAGAAAGAGAAUAAAAGCAGCGGUCUGGGACUAUACCAGGAUGCCUCACUGCAGCUUUGUCUCGUCUCUGUUUCCCGAUACAACAUCUGGUGACCCCGACACAGGACCCCCGACUCAUCGGCUGGCUUAGCCUUGGUGCACCACAGCGCAACGCGCUUCCUCAUUGCUGCAGUAUUACAACACAUUCGAACCCACAAGCCGACCCUUUUUAUCUAGAGCCCAGCGCCAUUAUAGACAGACCGAGCCCCUUCCGGCGCCGAAGGUGAUAUAUCGCAAGUUGCCAGGACCAGAGUGGAGCCUGCCUGUGCCACUCAUCACCUGGGGCCGGGGCUACGCAGCAGUGUCAACUGAUACCGGCCCUGUGUGGGUUCCCACUCGCUUUGUGAAGCCGUGGAGAGAUGGCCUGGCAUCAGGGGCUAAAGAAUCCCAUUCCGGAUUUCAGUCUAACCCUGACGGAUAGGGCAGACAAGAUCGACAAGGCCCGAAAGCGUGGCACACCUAACACUGCCAUAACUUGGGGGCAGGUCAAAGCUUUAUCACGGCAGGCUGAAUAUGUAUUAGAGCGGCUAUAGAUUAUUUACUUAUGCUGCAUCAUUAUGGAUGUGAAAAGGUUAAUGAUAUGUGUUGCUUUAAUAUUUCUGAUCAUCAUCAUUCAGUUGAAAAUCAACUCAAGAUAAUUAAAAAUUUAACAGAUCAAAUCAGAUACAAUCCAGACCCCUUCUCGGGAUGGUGGGAUUGGCUCUCCUCAUGGCUUCCUAACACUGGGUGGUUGCAUCAGCUUGUCAUCUUUGGGGGACUCACUGUACUAUUACUCGUGCUGUUUUGCUGUGGCAUUCAGUGUGUCCCUUCAUUUUUUUCUCUCUUCAUUAAGGGCUGUCCGUGGACUAACCCAGAGCCCCCUCGUAAGUAUUAGUCAUGUUAACAAAACAAAAAAGGGUGAGAUGUAGGUACAAGUGCUGGCAAGCCACACUGUCUGUGCAUUGAACCGUUCAUUAGAAAAGUAUAGUAUGCACUUUCUGCUAUGCUAGCUUAGUCACACAAGACAAUGGCCCGGUGAUGGGAACCAGCCUUAACCAAUCAGAAUGAAGUAAA
This is a long non-coding RNA of Mauremys reevesii (Reeves's turtle), 1211 nucleotides long. RefSeq lists it as uncharacterized. The record is from RefSeq and is a predicted model, not a curated record. NCBI's taxonomy places the organism in Eukaryota, Metazoa, Chordata, Testudines, Geoemydidae. The transcript is spliced from 3 exons.